AGCAGCCGCGGUAAUUCCAGCUCCAAUAGCGUAUAUUAAAGUUGUUGCAGUUAAAAAGCUCGUAGUUGAAUUUCGGGAUCAGUUGGUCGGUCGUGCCUCGGUACGUACUGGUCAAAUUGAUUCCUACCUUCUGACGAACCACGAUGUCAUUAAUUUGGUGUCGCGGGAAAUCAGGACUGUUACUUUGAAAAAAUUAGAGUGUUUAAAGCAGGCUCGCGCUUGAAUACAUUAGCAUGGAAUAAUGAAAUAGGACGUUUGAUUCUAUUUUGUUGGUUUCUAGGAUCGACGUAAUGAUUAAUAGGGAUAGUUGGGGGCAUUAGUAUUCAAUUGUCAGAGGUGAAAUUCUUGGAUUUAUUGAAGACUAACUACUGCGAAAGCAUUUGCCAAGGAUGUUUUCAUUAAUCAAGAACGAAAGUUAGGGGAUCGAAGACGAUCAGAUACCGUCGUAGUCUUAACCAUAAACUAUGCCGACUAGGGAUCGGAUGAUGUUAAUUUUUUAAUGACUC
This 506-nucleotide ribosomal RNA is filed under the name uncultured Glomus. RNAcentral describes it as "SSU rRNA". It matches the Rfam family "Eukaryotic small subunit ribosomal RNA", at positions 569 to 1077 of the family's 1831-position model. The record is from RNAcentral. Lineage: Eukaryota; Fungi; Glomeromycota; Glomeromycetes; Glomerales; Glomeraceae.